Molecule: ribosomal RNA, 330 nt
Filed under: uncultured eukaryote
Lineage: Eukaryota
Description: partial 18S ribosomal RNA
Rfam family: Eukaryotic small subunit ribosomal RNA
Source: RNAcentral
CCCUUAGAUGUUCGGGGCCGCACGCGCGCUACACUGAUGGGGACAGCGUGUUUGCCAUUCCUGGUCCGGCAGGAUUGGGCAAUCCGUUGAACCCCCGUCGUGAUUGGGAUCGGAGCUUGUAACUAUUCUCCGUAAACGAGGAAUUCCCAGUAAGCGCAAGUCAUCAGCUUGCGUCGAUUACGUCCCUGCCCUUUGUACACACCGCCCGUCGCUCCUACCGAUUGGGUGUGCUGGUGAAAUGUUCGGAUCGGCCGUUUGUCGCGGUUUCCGCGGCUCGUGGCUGAGAAGUUCAUUAAACCCUCCCACCUAGAGGAAGGAGAAGUCGUAACA